AGAAUCAACGCUGGCGGCGUGCCUCAGACAUGCAAGUCGAACGCGAAAGUCCCCUUCGGGGGACAAGUAGAGUGGCGCACGGGUGAGUAACACGUAGGUAAUCUACCUUCGGAUGGGGAAUAACAACCGGAAACGGUUGCUAAUACCGCACAAUGCAGCGGCACCUAAUGGUGACAGUUGCUAAAGCGGGGGAUCGAAAGACCUCGCGUCUGAAGAGGAGCCUGCGGCGGAUUAGCUAGUUGGUAGGGUAACGGCCUACCAAGGCGACGAUCCGUA
Molecule: ribosomal RNA, 276 nt
Filed under: uncultured soil bacterium
Lineage: Bacteria
Description: partial 16S ribosomal RNA
Rfam family: Bacterial small subunit ribosomal RNA
Source: RNAcentral